This 277-nucleotide ribosomal RNA is filed under the name uncultured Staphylococcus sp. RNAcentral's name for it is "partial 16S ribosomal RNA". It matches the Rfam family "Bacterial small subunit ribosomal RNA", at positions 86 to 355 of the family's 1533-position model. The record is from RNAcentral. Lineage: Bacteria; Bacillati; Bacillota; Bacilli; Caryophanales; Staphylococcaceae.
CGUACGUUAGCGGCGGACGGGUGAGUAACACGUGGGUAACCUACCUAUAAGACUGGGAUAACUUCGGGAAACCGGAGCUAAUACCGGAUAAUAUUUCGAACCGCAUGGUUCGAUAGUGAAAGAUGGUUUUGCUAUCACUUAUAGAUGGACCUGCGCCGUAUUAGCUAGUUGGUAAGGUAACGGCUUACCAAGGCGACGAUACGUAGCCGACCUGAGAGGGUGAUCGGCCACACUGGAACUGAGACACGGUCCAGACUCCUACGGGAGGGCAGCAGCC